RNAcentral lists this ribosomal RNA (123 nucleotides) under Jaculus jaculus (lesser Egyptian jerboa). The record is from RNAcentral. Lineage: Eukaryota; Metazoa; Chordata; Mammalia; Rodentia; Dipodidae.
GUCUAUGUCCAUACUACCCUGAGCACACCUGACCUCAUCUGAUCUCAGAAGCUAAACAGGGUCGGGCCUGGUUAGUACUUGGAUGGAAGACUAAUUGGUAACAAGAAGUGUCAAUUAUAGACA